This 536-nucleotide ribosomal RNA is filed under the name Megalestes sp. BOLD:ACG0487. RNAcentral's name for it is "partial 16S ribosomal RNA". It matches the Rfam family "Archaeal large subunit ribosomal RNA", at positions 1923 to 2688 of the family's 2987-position model. The record is from RNAcentral. Lineage: Eukaryota; Metazoa; Arthropoda; Insecta; Odonata; Synlestidae.
GUCUUCUUGUUUAUAUAAGAAGUCUGACCUGCCCAGUGAAUAGUUUUUAACGGCCGCGGUAUUUUGACCGUGCAAAGGUAGCAUAAUCAUUAGUCUUUUAAUAGGGGGCUGGUAUGAAUGGUUUGACGAGGUGCUAACUGUCUCAUUUAAUAAUUUAUUAAAAUUUAACUUUUUAGUCAAAAGGCUAAAAUUUUCUUGGUAGACGAGAAGACCCUAUAGAGCUUUAUAAUGUAUUAAUUAAUUUUAUUUAGGUUUAUUAUUUUAAUUAAUAUUUUACAUUAUUCUGUUGGGGUGACAAAAAUAUAUAAUUAACUUUUUAAUUUAUAAAACAUUAAUUUAUGAUCUGUUAGAUCCAAUUUCUUAUUGAUUGAUAGACUAAGUUACCUUAGGGAUAACAGCGUAAUCUUCUUUCAGAGUUCAAAUUUACAAGAAGGCUUGCGACCUCGAUGUUGGAUUAAGAUUAUAAUUAGGUGUAGCCGCUUAAUUUAUAGGUCUGUUCGACCUUUAAUUUCUUACAUGAUCUGAGUUCAAACCGG